AUCACAAUGGCAGAAAUUUUUUAAAUAUAAAAGAUGGCCACCUCCGUAAUUACUUUGUAAGCGAAUGUGAAAAUGUUUUAUAGUCAGUCUCAUGGAAUUCUUAGAGCGGUGCUGCGAUUUUAUGAAUUAUUCUUCUGAUAUAUCUCUAGCAUUAUUAGUCGGUACAGUAUUAGCUACUUUCCUUAUUUAUUUUUGCCAUCGUUGGGGCCAAAUAAAAUUUCAAAAAGAAGAUGGCGUUUGUCAAUCGUCUUCGUGUUUACGGUGUAACUCGGACGAAAGUUUCCAAGAAAUUACUAAAAGGAAGUUUACCAUAUAUUUAAAUAAAUGUCAAAGACCACAUUUACUUUUAAAUUUAAAAAAAGAUAUUUUAGUUUCUAGAGAGGAUC
RNAcentral lists this long non-coding RNA (386 nucleotides) under Androctonus crassicauda. Lineage: Eukaryota; Metazoa; Arthropoda; Arachnida; Scorpiones; Buthidae. The record is from RNAcentral.